This 402-nucleotide ribosomal RNA is filed under the name uncultured bacterium. RNAcentral describes it as "bacterial SSU rRNA". It matches the Rfam family "Bacterial small subunit ribosomal RNA", at positions 355 to 748 of the family's 1533-position model. The record is from RNAcentral.
UGGGGAAUUUUGGACAAUGGGCGAAAGCCUGAUCCAGCCAUGCCGCGUGAGUGAAGAAGGCCUUCGGGUUGUAAAGCUCUUUUAGUCGGAAAGAAAGAGUCGCAAUGAAUAAUUGUGAUUUAUGACGGUACCGACAGAAAAAGCACCGGCUAACUACGUGCCAGCAGCCGCGGUAAUACGUAGGGUGCGAGCGUUAAUCGGAAUUACUGGGCGUAAAGGGUGCGCAGGCGGUUUUGCAAGUCAGAUGUGAAAGCCCCGGGUCUUAACCUGGGAAUUGCGUUUGAAACUACAAGGCUAGAGUGCAGCAGAGGGGAGUGGAAUUCCAUGUGUAGCAGUGAAAUGCGUAGAGAUGUGGAAGAACACCGAUGGCGAAGGCAGCUCCCUGGGUUGACACUGACGCUC